AUUCCGGUGCACUUAGGCUCAACCCGGCCCAUCUCUGGCUCAGCCCCGCGCAUCUCUGCACAGCCUCCUCGCAUCUCUGCAAGCCCCCCUCGCACCCUCCUCCCAGCAGUCAAGGUAAGCGGCACCCUAGUCCUGCGCACGGGUUUGGGGUACUCAGGCUGCCACACUGCGUGUCCUAUGGGGGUGGGGGAGACAACAGUUGUGGCACAGGUCCACGCACCGGCCACGUGAACACGCCCCCCCCCCCUUCCCCUGGCAGCCAGGAAGCUUCAGGUCCCCUGGGCACCUCUUGUGCUCUUGACCUGUGGCUCCCUCUUCUCCCCACUGCGUUUUGUUUUAACAGAUUUUCUGCUUAAGAAAUGUUACCAGGUCUCAGGGACCCCACAUUAAAUUGAGCUAAUCUUGAAACAAAACAUCCCCUGAGGCAUUUUAGGGCACCUCACAUUAAGUGGUAGUCUGAGGAGACUCAUUUGAGAGUCAGAGGACACAUAGCUCAAAGUGUUUCCCUUCAUUUAAAACUUUAACUGCAGUUCUGCUUUUUGAAGCCUGUCUUUCCCUCUCAGUCUCCUUUUCUUUGUAAAAAAUGUGGUAAGGAUAAGUUUGAAUACCAGACAAGGGUUUCCUAAUUUAGUUUGGAGUGAAGAUUCAGAAAAUGCUUUAUAUAUUGAAAGACAAGAAUGCUCUUGUAUACCACCACCACCACCACCACCACUGCCACCACCACCGCUAGAACCCCCAGUACAGGCCCCUCGCUCGGACUUUAUCACGUGUACCUCUUCAUUCCCCUUGGCGAUGUAUUUCUCAGCUUUCAUACCAAGGUGCAGAGUGACAUGUGCUCUCCUAGAGCGUCUCAGCAUCUCUGUUCAAAGAGUAGUUUUGUGAUGGGAACGCCGAGUAAAGGGGAAAACUGAGCAGACAAGAGGCUGUGGGUUUAUCCUCCAUACCGGCAGUGAUAUGGUGUGAACAAAAGCAAGUGCGCCAAUCUGGGACUCCAAACUGAAACUUCAGAAAAGAAACUUUGGCUUUCAUACUAAACCGAGGGUUUUGCCUUCUGGGCCUCCCUAAAAUGGGAGCACGUGGGCCUGAAGAGGAAUGCUGGCUAGCAAGAUAGCAGAAGAUAAGAAAAAGAGUCGCUUGUACCCAAUGUCCUUCCAGGUGGUGUCUCCUGUCUGAUCAGUGAACUCAGAGUCUAGCAAAUGUAAUGUCAUCUUCAAACUAUUAGCACUUAACUUGUAAAUUCUUAUAAAUAUUUGUGACCUUUCUGGUACUUGGUAGAGAUUCCAGUUGUUGCUCUACAUCUUUAGGAUACUAGCACACAGAGAUGAACUUAAUUACAUUAUUUUAACCACACUGGAACUCGGGGAUAAAUGAGAUUAUACCACAUAAGAAUGGAGACACUAACAGUGCUCAGAAGGAAUCCGGUGAAUCACAUGCUGCUUCAAUCUUGUAUUCAAUUCCAGAGGGAAAAGGAGAAUGUGCCAACAGACUUUGUUAUAAGCUGAAAUAUAAACACUUUUGAUGAGUUUUGUUUCUGAGACAUUCCUCUUAAAAAGCAACGUAAUUUCUGGUCCUUAUGUAAGUUGCCAACAUUCCAUUGUAUUGCAUUUCAACAAUCCUGAGUUACUAGUUUUUGAGAAAUGCAACUUUGAAAUGUGUAAUUAAUUAUACAUACUCACUGGGCUCUGCAGCAUCCACUACAUUUUCUUGGAAAUUUUAUAUUCUGAGAGUGUAUAGUUCUCCACUAUAGUUUCAUUGUAUGUCACAGAUUUUUAAAAAGCUCUAGAUAUUUUCAUAUUAUAUAGUAAGCAAUUUAUGGACUUCAUUGCCAUGAAUGUGUGAGUUGUGCUACUUUGAAUUCUCAAAUGGCAUUGUUGCUUUUUAUUUCUAUUUAUUUCUAGUCAUUUUCUAUUUCAUUUUACCUAUUUUGAUAAGUAAGCCUUUUAACAAAUCUACAAUUCUUUAGAAUAAAUUCAAUUCGUGCUUUGUAGUCUAUGAAACUAUAACCUUUACAACAUUAUUGAACAUCAUAAGUGAUCUUAGGUACUUUCAAAAUGGAAUAAUCUAAAAUAAAUAAGACAAGCAUGGACAUUAUGCACAUAAUUGGAAUGUUAUGCAAUGUUUUGGAUAAUUAUGUAUGUGAGAAAAAUUGUAUAUUGCAGCUAAGUAUCUGGAUGCCUUUUCUGCCCCUUGGAGAUGCUAAAUAAAUUCUAUGUUGUAGGUCUGUGUCUGAACUCUGACAUGUGGCAUGAGGUUAGAUUAAGCCUCAAGACUGAAUAUUUUUUAAUUAACAUGAUUGAUCCUUUCAAUAUGAAAUUUGUGUUUUAUAUCAAUUAUCUGGUCCCAAAUGAUAAGUAUCUUAAAAGUUCAAAUAUUAUAUGAAUUCACUAUAAAUGAAUUAUAUUGUAUGUACAUUGUAAAUAUACAUUAAGGGUAUUUGGCAAGG
RNAcentral lists this long non-coding RNA (2443 nucleotides) under Mus musculus (house mouse). RNAcentral describes it as "long non-coding RNA chr2:22774407-22776850". The record is from RNAcentral. Lineage: Eukaryota; Metazoa; Chordata; Mammalia; Rodentia; Muridae.